CUGAAACAUCUAAGUACCCCGAGGAAAAGAAAUCAACCGAGAUUCCCCCAGUAGCGGCGAGCGAACGGGGAGGAGCCCAGAGCCUGAAUCAGCAUGUGUGUUAGUGGAAGCGUCUGGAAAGGCGCGCGAUACAGGGUGACAGCCCCGUACACAAAAGCGCAUGUGCUGUGAGCUCGAUGAGUAGGGCGGGACACGUGGUAUCCUGUCUGAAUAUGGGGGGACCAUCCUCCAAGGCUAAAUACUCCUGACUGACCGAUAGUGAACCAGUACCGUGAGGGAAAGGCGAAAAGAACCCCGGCGAGGGGAGUGAAAAAGAACCUGAAACCGUGUACGUACAAGCAGUGGGAGCCCCACCACUAAGCCAGUGGUGAACUCCACAUACGCAUCCUUUGCUGAGGAUACGGUUAACGGAGCGAAAGCGACGUUCAACCGCAAAAGAAGCAGAGGGGGCUUAGUGGUGGGGUGACUGCGUACCUUUUGUAUAAUGGGUCAGCGACUUAUAUUCUGUAGCAAGGUUAACCGUAUAGGGGAGCCGUAGGGAAACCGAGUCUUAAC
RNAcentral lists this ribosomal RNA (555 nucleotides) under Salmonella enterica subsp. enterica serovar Havana. RNAcentral describes it as "partial 23S ribosomal RNA". It matches the Rfam family "Bacterial large subunit ribosomal RNA", at positions 193 to 688 of the family's 2925-position model. The record is from RNAcentral. Lineage: Bacteria; Pseudomonadati; Pseudomonadota; Gammaproteobacteria; Enterobacterales; Enterobacteriaceae.